Molecule: ribosomal RNA, 508 nt
Filed under: uncultured bacterium
Lineage: Bacteria
Description: partial 16S ribosomal RNA
Rfam family: Bacterial small subunit ribosomal RNA
Source: RNAcentral
GACGAACGCUGGCGGCGUGCCUAAUACAUGCAAGUCGAACGCUUCUUUCCUCCCGAGUGCUUGCACUCAAUUGGAAAGAGGAGUGGCGGACGGGUGAGCAACACGUGGGUAACCUACCCAUCAGAGGGGGAUAACACUUGGAAACAGGUGCUAAUACCGCAUAACAGUUUAUGCCGCAUGGCAUAAGAGUGAAAGGCGCUUUCGGGUGUCGCUGAUGGAUGGACCCGCGGUGCAUUAGCUAGUUGGUGAGGUAACGGCUCACCAAGGCCACGAUGCAUAGCCGACCUGAGAGGGUGAUCGGCCACACUGGGACUGAGACACGGCCCAGACUCCUACGGGAGGCAGCAGUAGGGAAUCUUCGGCAAUGGACGAAAGUCUGACCGAGCAACGCCGCGUGAGUGAAGAAGGUGUUCGGAUCGUAAAACUCUGUUGUUAGAGAAGAACAAGGACGUUAGUAACUGAACGUCCCCUGACGGUAUCUAACCAGAAAGCCACGGCUAACUACGUG